Molecule: unclassified non-coding RNA, 3049 nt
Filed under: Leishmania donovani
Lineage: Eukaryota; Euglenozoa; Kinetoplastea; Trypanosomatida; Trypanosomatidae
Description: gene:LdHU3.07.0420(CDS-product:NUDIX_family_hydro lase_putative)
Source: RNAcentral
AGGGCGAGCCGUGCCCUUGCGAGGCCCAUCCGCUCGCCUCUCAUAUUUCUUUCGCUCUAUCCAGCUCUACCUUUCCGUCUGCAUCGUACUGUCGCUCCCCUCCCCCUCCCCCUCCCCUGCCUCCCCUUCGCGUUUCUCCGAUGCUAUCGGGCAUACCCGGUGUGGACCUGGCCCUGCUGACGCAGGUUACGCGGCACCUCGCGGAGCGCCGUCUGCAUGUGUACCGCCCCGGCAGUCGCCGCUCUGCCGCCGCGCUGGUGUUGCGAUUUGGCGAUGACACGCAACGAACUCUCACUAAGGCACUGAGCACCUUCAGGGCCGCCACCGCGCGGCGCGGAUAUGCGGACCCCGACGCGACAGAGGCAAAGGUAUCGGGUGCAGCGUCGUUGCCAUGUGGCAGUGGGCGCACCUCGUCGCGCUUUUCCAGCGCAGCCGCCUCUGCCGCUUCUUCUUCGAUCGCGCGUGACUCAGCAGAAGGCGGCUGGACUGACCCGUUGGAGUUCUUUGAGUAUCUGGCGCACCACCGCUGCCAUCACCCGUAUGCCGACUUCGUCGACGCCGGUGCCCCUUCCUCGUUGCAGCUGCUCUUCCUGAAGCGGACGAACAGGGAGGCGAGACGGUGGAGCGGGCAGAUCGUCUUUCCAGGUGGACGCCGUGACCCGGACGACCACGACGACUUUGAUACCGUCUGCCGAGAAACCUAUGAGGAGAUCGGCUUCCCGCUGCAGCACCAUCGCGAGUUUAUGUGCCUCGGGCGGUUGCCAGACUACCAGCUGCACAGUCGCAUCGUCGGCAGCCGCGGCUUCGUGCAGGCACGCUUCGUGUUUCUGCACGUGGGCGACAUCACGCCAACACUGCAGCUGGCGUCGCACGCGGUGGAGAGUGUGCGGUGGGUGCCGCUGCGGACGCUGACGGCAGCGCACGUGGAGCGCGGGCGUGUGGUGCACCCGCUCCGGAGCUUCGUGAACCCGCAGGACGCAGACACGCGACUGAUGGUAGGGGAGGUGUUCCCAAACACCUACUUGUCCUUUCCAAGUCUUCUGCUACCUGGUGCACCGGCGCCGUCGUCCUCUUCUGCCACCGCGGGUGGCACUGAGGCGGGCGGGAAGGGGUGCAGUGAGGAUGGCGGGACGCCGAGGACGCGGGAGGAUGCCUCGCCAGCUUCCCCUGGGUCACCAUCGUGGCGUGUGUGGGGUCUCACGCUGCGCACCGCGAAUGAGUUGCUGUCGCUGGACAGCUGUCAAGCCUUUGACUGGCCCUUCGUCGAGUCAAACAGCCGCCUCCUGCAAUAUGGGGUGCUUUUUCCUAUGCACGGCUACUACGAGCUCCUCUACCAGUUCUACUGGUGGCGCGCGUGGAUGACGGCGAAGAUGCGCUUGCGUACGCGUGAGGGAUGCGUGGCGGGCCGAGGAGAAACGAACGCCGGUGACGAACAACACGCCAGCAGCACGCUCGGCAGCUCACGAAGCGGGUCGCGCUCGUCGGCGCCUCUGUCGCACCUCUCGAGGGAGCGGCAGCGGUGGCGGUGCGUGCUCUACGGCUCCUCCAUGGAGCGCCGGUACGCGGUCCUCCCUGCGUCGGCGGGUGCGCUGCUCCGCGCUGCGCCCGCGACGCCCACCGCCGAGCACGUUGUGUGCUUUGCGGCGGCGCUGGGCCUCGUUGUGUGUGCGCUGUACACCGUGGCAGCAGCGAUCGCGAGCGUUGGUGCCGCCGUCGGCGCUGCGCUCGGCGUGAAAGCGGACCUGGAUGGCGAAGCACGGCGUCGCGCCUACUACGACGCGAACGCGCCGAUUAGCGUGGUGCGUCAUCGCCGUCCUGCUGCUGGUGCCAGUGCAGAGAUGCGGUCUCUCGAGAAUGCGACGGCACACGGCGAUACUGUGAUCUCUGCAGCGGAUGCCGUCGCACCGAGUCGUGAGACGAGCGAUUCUCGCUCUUGGUGGCUGCGGCAGCUGCGCGGCAGUCGCGUCCCGUGCUGGCGUGCGACCGCUGACGAGGCCGCGCUCUCUGCGGAGCUGCGCAGCACCACCGAAGUUCUUCAUGGGGAGCCGCUGCUCCACAGCGACAGUGCUGUACCACAAGAUACGAGGCGCCGGCUGCCAACCUCGACAGAGAUGCCGGCCGUGAAGCAGCACCUAACAGGCAAGACUUCGGCGGCGAUGCGCCCUACAUCCUCUGACGCUGGUGAAGUCUUAGAGCCUAUCACCGUGAGCCCUUCGCGAGUCACGCCGACCACUGACCAUCUUACAACAUCCUCUGCUAUUUCAACCGUCUCAGUAGACGCCAUCAGAGACUGCGGCAGCGCUGAGGACGCCUAUGAGGUAGGGAAGGGGCGGGGUGACGUUGGGCCUGCCGUCACAGGUGUCGCUGUGCCGGCGGAGCACCUCGUUGCGGCUGCGAUGCCGGCGGAUGUGGCAGGGCUGAGGCACGAGGAGGAGCUGAAGGCGAUCAUGCGCCGCUACCGUCCCCAGUCCACCGCCAACCGAUAGCGUGCUUGUCUCUCUGUGUAUGCGUGUGUGUGUGUGUGACAGGCUUGGGGUUGAGCGUGCCCCUCUGCCGGGGAUAUGCCCCGUAGUGGAGACGGAGGAGGCGAUAACCGCUGCCCCCUUCGCUUCGGACGCUGCUGCGGCGCCGUGCCACCAGACAGGCGUGGCCAACGGUGUGGGCGCAAAGACGCCGGCGACGAGGCGCUUCUGCAGCGAAAAAGGGGCUUGGGAGCGGCGAGUGGGAGGGUGCAAGCGUAUGCGCGUGAGCGCGUCGGGGUUCCAGGCCCCCCUCUCAUCCCUCCAGCGUACUCACACACACGGCUCUCUCUCUGUGUGCGGCUGUGUGGAGGGCGAUGUACACCCUCUCCACCAAAAACAAAGAGAACACAAUAAGCGAGGCAGUCCUUCCGUCUUCCGUCGGGAACGCCCCCCCUCUCCUCCCCCCUUUCCUCACCUCUCCGCCUCCUGUGGCUGCCGAUGCGGAUGCGAUACGCUCGAAACCCUUCCCUGCCUUCAACUCUCUCCCUUCCUUACUUACCUUCUAUGCUCGCGAAAUGGUGCAUUAG